This 461-nucleotide long non-coding RNA is filed under the name Ananas comosus (pineapple). Its description in RNAcentral is "long non-coding RNA (ACOM_LNC036223)". The record is from RNAcentral. Lineage: Eukaryota; Viridiplantae; Streptophyta; Magnoliopsida; Poales; Bromeliaceae.
AUGCAAGUGUUGAGGAGUGCUAGGUCUACAACCCGCUUUUAGAGUACAACUGUUGUUUGACAUGAUAUCAGAGUAAGAGGUUAUGAGUUUGAGUUACUCUAACAACUUAAACUUUUAGAGUACAACGACAAUUUCACAUGAUAUCAGAGUAAGAGGUUCUGAAGAGUACAACGGCAAUUUCACAUGAUAUCCGAGUAAGCGGUUCUGAAUUUGAGUUACUUUAACAACUUAAGCUUUUAGAGUAUAACGGCUAUUUCACAUGAUAUCAGAGUAAGAAGUUAUGAGUUUGAGUUACGCCAGACUCCUAGCAUUAUUAAUUUCCUCACGUUUAAUUCAAGUCCACAUUGUAGGCCUUGCAAAAAUUCUCUUACCCAAACGUUAGGGGGAGUGUUAAAUAUAAAAAUAUAUAAAUACUAUUCUCUAACAUCUUAAACUUUUAAAGUAUAACAGUUAAACGUUGU